UUAAAUUGAAGAGUUUGAUCAUGGCUCAGAUUGAACGCUGGCGGCAGGCCUAACACAUGCAAGUCGAGCGGUAACACAGAGAGCUUGCUCUCGGGUGACGAGCG
RNAcentral lists this ribosomal RNA (104 nucleotides) under Klebsiella aerogenes. RNAcentral describes it as "partial 16S rRNA. Bacterial SSU". It matches the Rfam family "Bacterial small subunit ribosomal RNA", at positions 1 to 97 of the family's 1533-position model. The record is from RNAcentral. Lineage: Bacteria; Pseudomonadati; Pseudomonadota; Gammaproteobacteria; Enterobacterales; Enterobacteriaceae.